This 363-nucleotide ribosomal RNA is filed under the name uncultured bacterium. RNAcentral describes it as "bacterial SSU rRNA". It matches the Rfam family "Bacterial small subunit ribosomal RNA", at positions 8 to 353 of the family's 1533-position model. The record is from RNAcentral.
AGAGUUUGAUCCUGGCUCAGGAUGAACGCUAGCUACAGGCUUAACACAUGCAAGUCGAGCGAAGCGCUUGCGAAUGAUCCUUCGGGUGAUUUUGCUGGUGACUGAGCGGCGGACGGGUGAGUAACGCGUGGGUAACCUGCCUCAUACAGGGGGAUAACAGUUAGAAAUGACUGCUAAUACCGCAUAAGCGCACAGUACCACAUGGUACGGUGUGAAAAACUCCGGUGGUAUGAGAUGGACCCGCGUCUGAUUAGCUAGUUGGCGGGGUAACGGCCCACCAAGGCGACGAUCAGUAGCCGACCUGAGAGGGUGAUCGGCCACAUUGGGACUGAGACACGGCCCAAACUCCUACGGGAGGCAGCA